AUUGAACGCUGGCGGCAUGCCUUACACAUGCAAGUCGAACGGUAACAGGUCUUCGGAUGCUGACGAGUGGCGCACGGGUGCGUAAUACAUCGGAACGUGCCCGAUCGUGGGGGAUAACGAAGCGAAAGCUUUGCUAAUACCGCAUACGAUCUACGGAUGAAAGCAGGGGACCGCAAGGCCUUGCGCGACCGGAGCGGCCGAUGGCAGAUUAGGUAGUUGGUGGGAUAAAAGCUUACCAAGCCGACGAUCUGUAGCUGGUCUGAGAGGACGACCAGCCACACUGGGACUGAGACACGGCCCAGACUCCUACGGGAGGCAGCAGUGGGGAAUUUUGGACAAUGGGCGAAAGCCUGAUCCAGCCAUGCCGCGUGCAGGAUGAAGGCCUUCGGGUUGUAAAAUGCUUUUGUACGGAACGAAAAGACUCUGGUUAAUACCUGGGGUCCAUGACGGUACCGUAAGAAUAAGCACCGGCUAACUACGUG
Molecule: ribosomal RNA, 482 nt
Filed under: uncultured bacterium
Lineage: Bacteria
Description: partial 16S ribosomal RNA
Rfam family: Bacterial small subunit ribosomal RNA
Source: RNAcentral